RNAcentral lists this long non-coding RNA (232 nucleotides) under Mytilus galloprovincialis (Mediterranean mussel). The record is from RNAcentral. Lineage: Eukaryota; Metazoa; Mollusca; Bivalvia; Mytilida; Mytilidae.
UGGCGGGAGCUCUUAUAAAUUAUGGUUACAUCUCAGUCAGGGUAUUCAUACGACUCAUUGCUUACAUGAUUUUAUUAAAAGGAAUUACGAAGGUUUACUGAUUUUUAUUUUAAAUCAUCAAAACCAGUGUAUAAAUCAGAAAGUAACAUGUAAGGUGUCACAAGUUGAAGCGCUCUUUCAUCUCCAAGUCCCAAUUAAGAACUCUGAGCUGAUAUAAAAAAAGCCUUGGUCC